AGAAAUUUAGGUUAACAAAACCAAGAACCUUCAAAGCUCUAAAAAAGAGUAAAACCUCUUAAUUUCUG
RNAcentral lists this transfer RNA (68 nucleotides) under Varanus dumerilii (Dumeril monitor). RNAcentral describes it as "tRNA-Trp". The record is from RNAcentral. Lineage: Eukaryota; Metazoa; Chordata; Lepidosauria; Squamata; Varanidae.